Molecule: ribosomal RNA, 470 nt
Filed under: uncultured bacterium
Lineage: Bacteria
Description: bacterial SSU rRNA
Rfam family: Bacterial small subunit ribosomal RNA
Source: RNAcentral
AUGCCUUACACAUGCAAGUACGAACGGCAGGCACGGGGCGAACCUGGUGGCGAGUGGCGAACGGGUGAGUAAUGCAUCGGAACGUGCCAUUGAGUGGGGGGUAACGUAGCGAAAGUUACGCUAAUACCGCAUAUUCUGUGAGCAGGAAAGCAGGGGAUCGCAAGACCUUGCGCUCUUUGAGCGGCCGAUGUCAGAUUAGCUAGUUGGUGAGGUAACGGCUUACCAAGGCGACGAUCUGUAGCGGGUCUGAGAGGAUGAUCCGCCACACUGGAACUGAGACACGGUCCAGACUCCUACGGGAGGCAGCAGUGGGGAAUUUUUGGACAAUGGGGGCAACCCUGAUCCAGCCAUGCCGCGUGAGUGAAGAAGGCCUUCGGGUUGUAAAGCUCUUUCGGCCGGGAAGAAAUCGCAUGGGUUAAUACCCUGUGUGGAUGACGGUACCGGCAUAAGAAGCACCGGCUAACUACGUG